GCCAGACUCCUACGGGAGGCAGCAGUGAGGAAUAUUGGUCAAUGGGCGGGGGCCUGAACCAGCCAAGUCGCGUGAGGGAAGACGGUCCUAUGGAUUGUAAACCUCUUUAGGCGGGGAGCAAUGCCGGGCACGUGUGCCCGGAGGGAGAGUACCCGCAGAAUAAGCAUCGGCUAACUCCGUGCCAGCAGCCGCGGUAAUACGGAGGAUGCGAGCGUUAUCCGGAUUUAUUGGGUUUAAAGGGUGCGUAGGCGGGCUGUUAAGUCAGCGGUCAAAUGUCGGGGCUCAACCCCGGCCUGCCGUUGAAACUGGCGGCCUCGGGUGGGCGAGAAGUAUGCGGAGUGCGUGGUGUAGCGGUGAAAUGCAUAGAUAUCACGCAGAACUCCGAUUGCGAAGGCAGCAUACCGGCGCCCGACUGACGCUGAGGCACGAAAGCGUGGGUAUCGAACAGGAUUAGAUACCCCUGUA
RNAcentral lists this ribosomal RNA (465 nucleotides) under uncultured bacterium. RNAcentral's name for it is "bacterial SSU rRNA". It matches the Rfam family "Bacterial small subunit ribosomal RNA", at positions 330 to 792 of the family's 1533-position model. The record is from RNAcentral.